GAGCAGGUGCGAAAGCAGGUCAUAGUGAUCCGGUGGUUCUGAAUGGAAGGGCCAUCGCUCAACGGAUAAAAGGUACUCCGGGGAUAACAGGCUGAUACCGCCCAAGAGUUCAUAUCGACGGCGGUGUUUGGCACCUCGAUGUCGGCUCAUCACAUCCUGGGGCUGAAGUAGGUCCCAAGGGUAUGGCUGUUCGCCAUUUAAAGUGGUACGCGAGCUGGGUUUAGAACGUCGUGAGACAGUUCGGUCCCUAUCUGCCGUGGGCGCUGGAGAACUGAGGGGGGCUGCUCCUAGUACGAGAGGACCGGAGUGGACGCAUCACUGGUGUUCGGGUUGUCAUGCCAAUGGCACUGCCCGGUAGCUAAAUGCGGAAGAGAUAAGUGCUGAAAGCAUCUAAGCACGAAACUUGCCCCGAGAUGAGUUCUCCCUGACUCCUUGAGAGUCCUGAAGGAACGUUGAAGACGACGACGUUGAUAGGCCGGGUGUGUAAGCGCAGCGAUGCGUUGAGCUAACCGGUACUAAUGAACCGUGAGGCUUAACCUUACAACGCCGAAG
This 552-nucleotide ribosomal RNA is filed under the name Escherichia coli. RNAcentral describes it as "partial 23S ribosomal RNA". It matches the Rfam family "Bacterial large subunit ribosomal RNA", at positions 2391 to 2925 of the family's 2925-position model. The record is from RNAcentral. Lineage: Bacteria; Pseudomonadati; Pseudomonadota; Gammaproteobacteria; Enterobacterales; Enterobacteriaceae.